GUAGGUGGCAAGCGUUGUCCGGAAUUAUUGGGGCGUAAAGCGCGCGCAGGUGGUUCUUUAAGUCUGAUGUGAAAGCCCCCCGGGCUCAACCGGGGGAGGGUCAUUGGAAACUGGGGAACUUGAGUGCAGGAGAGGAAAGUGGAAUUCCACGUGUAGCGGUGAAAUGCGUAGAUAUGUGGAGGAACACCAGUGGCGAAGGCGACUUUCUGGCCUGUAACUGACACUGAGACGCGAAAGCGUGGGGAGCAAACAGGAUUAGAUACCCUGGUAGUCCACGCCGUAAACGAUGAGUGCUAAGUGUUGGGGGGUUUCCGCCCCUCAGUGCUGCAGCUAACGCAUUAAGCACUCCGCCUGGGGAGUACGGUCGCAAAGACUGA
RNAcentral lists this ribosomal RNA (377 nucleotides) under uncultured organism. Its description in RNAcentral is "partial 16S ribosomal RNA". It matches the Rfam family "Bacterial small subunit ribosomal RNA", at positions 527 to 897 of the family's 1533-position model. The record is from RNAcentral.